CUUUCCAGCAGCUGUUUAGGCACUUAAGUGGGUAAUUUUUAGGGACUUGUUGCUGUUUUUCCAGCAGGUUAUUAGUCUCAAAUUGUGAAUGCUUUGUAGGGACCUUUUGGCUUUUUUUCUGCAGGUUUUUCAGCAGGACCCUUCACUGUUUUUCUGUGAGUUUUUUUGGCACCAAACCUUUGUGGUUUUUUUAGAGACCUGUCACUGGUUUUCAAGCAGCUUUUUAGGAAUCAAACAUCGGUAGAUAGACCCUUUAUCCUUGUGACUGACCUGUGAUGCUCCCUCCUGCAGGACGUGAUGGUCCGUAACGACAGCCCCUGUGGAACCACCAUCGGACCCAUCCUGGCCUCCCGCCUCGGCAUCCCUGUGAUGGACAUCGGAGGUCCGAUGCUCUCCAUGCACUCCAUCAGAGAGAUGUGCUGCACCUCCAGCGUCCUGCAGAGCAUCACCCUCUUUAAGGGUUUCUUCGAGUUCUUCCCCGCAGUGAAGAGAGCGCUGGUUGUCGACUAGAGCCGACGAGAACUGCAAUCGGUGGUGAAAGAGGAUGUCAUUUUCAACAUGUGAUAACCUCAAAACAUGAAAAAAAACAGAAAAUGUGUCAAUCUAAACACACGUUCAUGCUGAAAAUGACAAAUCUUUUCUUAAAAACCUGUCAGUUGCAGACCAUGUUUCACUGAUAAUCCCUAGGAUGCUGUUAUCAACUCCCAAUUUUAAAAAAUCACAAAUACACACGACAGUACACAAGCAAUCUUUCUUAUGAAAUUAUUUAGAAAAUAAUAAAACACUGAAAGCUUUUUCCCAA
Molecule: non-coding RNA, 802 nt
Organism: Plectropomus leopardus (leopard coralgrouper)
Lineage: Eukaryota; Metazoa; Chordata; Actinopteri; Perciformes; Serranidae
Source: RefSeq, a predicted model, not a curated record